RNAcentral lists this ribosomal RNA (471 nucleotides) under Triticum aestivum (bread wheat). Its description in RNAcentral is "partial small subunit ribosomal RNA". Lineage: Eukaryota; Viridiplantae; Streptophyta; Magnoliopsida; Poales; Poaceae. The record is from RNAcentral.
AUGAGAGAGUUGAUAGAAAGAGAGCGAGGUUGUUUGAAGACCUGCGGCAGGGGUGGAGCAAGCUGCGUGGCCCAUGUCCCGGACGAAUGGGCGCUCCUCUCGAGCGUCCUCCUCCCGACGGCAGGACAUGCACGGGGCGGCAGAUCCGGCUGCUCCGGCGUGGAUCCGGCGACGGGGCGGACAGAUCGAGGCGGAGCAGCACGAGGCCGACCGAGAGGUGGCCAGCCGGAGGCGGUCAGAGCUCCAAGGCAGCGGGGGUGCUGCCUGGUUGUUCGGAUCGACGCGGAGGAGCACGAGGCCGACGAAGAGGUGGCCGGCCCGGCGGCGGGCGAUCUCCAAGGUAGCCGGACUGCUGCGGGUUGUUCUUUGGCGACUCCCUUCCCUCGAGAGGAUAAGGAAAAAGCUGAGAGAGAGGAGGAGAGGGGCGGCGGCAGCUGGGGUGGCUCGUGGCAGAGAGGAGCUCCACUCUAG